This is a long non-coding RNA of Musa acuminata AAA Group (dessert banana), 2657 nucleotides long. RefSeq lists it as uncharacterized. NCBI's taxonomy places the organism in Eukaryota, Viridiplantae, Streptophyta, Magnoliopsida, Zingiberales, Musaceae. The transcript has 6 exons. The record is from RefSeq and is a predicted model, not a curated record.
CACGCCUCUUUUUUAGCUUCAGAUAUUGGCCUCUGAGGUUCCGACACCGGGAAAGAGCAUAUGGCACGGAAGCCGCCACCCGAGCCUGCCUCGGUUCCCCGCAGGCUCCGGCCGCUGAUCGUCGUGGAGAAUCCGAAGCCGAAGCCAGGAUCCCGUUGCGCCGAGGCGUCCGGAGAAACGGCGGCGGAGUGCGCAGCCAUCUUCUGCUGCUGCCCCUGCGGCCUGGCGAAACUCCUAGUUUUCGCGGUAAUCAAGCUGCCGGAGGGGCUCGUACGGAAGGCCCUGCGACGGAGGAGGAAGCGGAAGAAGAAAUCCACCGGGAUCUGGCGGCCCAAAUACGGCGCCUUGGACGAUGACGACGACUUCAGCGUUCACGGAGGGUUCCUUUUGGCGGCGGCAAGGGCCGAGGAGGCGUGGCCCGCGAAGACGCCGUCUCAGGAGCUGCUGGAGUUGGAGAAGGAGAUGCGGGCGAAGUUUUACGGCGCCGGAUUUUGGCGAAGCGGUUCGCAGAAGGAGUAGAGGCAGCCCUCUUGGCAUUCCGGUGAGAAGGGAAAUGGCUUUUCUCGUGGUAGAAGAGAAGAGAACUGGUCCAAGGUGGGAUCUUUUCCAUUGCUCUGCUGCUGCUUCGGAUUGCUCAGUUGCAUUCCGACGAGCGAUUUCGUCGAGGACUAAUGUUUUGCCGUGGUGGACGAGUUGACUCGUCAACACAUAAGUAAUCUGCGUCUCAAAUCGUCGAUGGUUGGAUGCCAAUUAUCCUUUACAAUCGUUGGUUUUGUUUUAGAUGUUUUCUUCUGGAGGAAUUAUGCAAUGGUGAGAGGUGGUCUAUUCAGAUUCUUGGAGUAUGAAAAUAAUUUCGAAUACACAUUUCCAUAAAGUUCGAUAAAUGUUUGGUAAGGAAUGUUCUUUGAAGUUCUCGAAUGAAUAUAGCAUCGAUUUGGCAAAAAAUAUGAUACACUGUAAUUAAUUUUAUUUUAUUAUCAUUUUGGAAUCGACGGGAGAUUCUAUCCGAUUCAUCUUUAUCAUUCUACGUCAUCUAAAGACAUACUAGCGUGCAUAGUGUUGGUGUGGAAAGUAAGGUUUAAACUAUAGAUCCCAUCCUUUCUCGAUUAUUUGCAGUAGAAACAGAAAUGGGGAGGAAAGACGGGAAGAGACAACUGACACGCUGUCUCCAAUCCCUCUCUCUCUCUUGCUCCCUUGUCGACGCCCAACGCAUCGCAUCGUCGAUUCCCAUUUCCUUUGGCGGUGACUCGGUCGCAUCGUGGCGCCUCGAUCUUCUCAGCACCAACGUGGAGGCGAUUCGUGUGAGGCGUUGCUUUGAUCGCUUGUUUGUUUCGACUUGCGGUCGAUCGAUCUAUUGUUUGCCCUAAUUUUGUACUUGUUUCUUUUGGGUUCUUGAUGAUAUUGGAGCUUCUGUUCUUCGGCGCCUGCCGUAUAAGGGAAUUCUUCGUAUAAUUUUCGUAAUUUGUGGCGUAAUUGUUGAUUUGAGUUUGUCGUCUGCAUUGAUUUAAGUUCAGGGGUGAUACGAUCCUAGUUCGAUUUGGUGAGGCACUGGUUUUAUCCGUAUUUUUUUAGGAAGAAUGCAUUCUGAGAAUGCUGCGACAGUUUGUCCUAUCUCUAGCUUCUCUUGAUUGAUCUUUUGCCCUGUCUGUUCUAGUUGAUACGAGGUUCUUACAUAGGGUUUGGUGAUGGACGGGACUGCAAAGAGGGAGAGCCAUUUGCCAUCUGCUCGGACUCCUGUGGAAGGGGGAGUUCAGGAUGCUUGUGGUGAUGCAUGCAGCAUCCGUCUUGAACCCCUCUGCGAAAUUGAUCCUUCAACGGUGCCAGAGAAAAUCUCGGUGUCGCAUGUGUUGGCGGUCCAUCGGUUUGAAGGAUCCCACCUGGUUCAUAUGAAUUGGCCAGGAACUACUAGAGGCCGUAGAAAGGGAAAGCAGCAUUAGACUUGAUCGUGCAACGACCACCACAAUUUUUCAUCAUGCAGUGCAUGGAGAUUUCAAUUUGCAACAUAUUCUUUCUUUCUCGCCUAUUCAUGGCAAUUGCCAGUUGCUGGAAGCGAUGAAGAAUUUGAAGAGCAUAUUAUCCAGCACUUUGUUGCUGCUGCUGCCAAGGGAAGAGCACGCCACAUUGCUUGAAGAGGUCGGCUUAGAUCAGGAUCUCAUGAUCACCUGCAGUAUCUGGUUUUCUCCACAAAUUCAAUUGCAUCGUCUGUGGGCUUAACAUCUUCCUCAGCUCCAAAAGGGGAAAAUGAAAUAGCUCCUGCAACAGUUGUUGCUAACCCGUCAUCUCCAAUAAGUAAUCCAGGAGGGGAUUCUGCCGAAGUAACAAAUAUUAUGCUGGCUCAUGCCAGUAACAAAUAUUCUUACUUCAAGUCCAAGCAAACCUGCUGGCCAGUCAAAUCUUCGGCUAACCAAGAUGGACCAGAACCAUCAGACUUCCAAUUGUUCUCAGAAUCUCUGAAAUCUCGUCUGAAUGCAGUUUCACCGAGCUAAUUCAGAGCUUAUGUGCUGUUUUCAGUAUCCUGGAACUCUGUGGCGGGUAUUGGUUGUGAAGUUGGGAGACAAGUUGGUGUUGGAAUUUGGUACCAUGUCAAGAAUAAUGGAGCUCCUGGUACUUUUAUCUCACAUAGUGCUGCAGUGCACUCAGAUAUGGAACCAGGUAAC